Molecule: transfer RNA, 67 nt
Filed under: Pseudophoraspis kabakovi
Lineage: Eukaryota; Metazoa; Arthropoda; Insecta; Blattodea; Blaberidae
Description: tRNA-Tyr
Source: RNAcentral
AGUAGAAUGGCUGAGAAUUAGGCGUAAGAUUGUAAAUCUUUUAAGGAGGUGUAUAACUCUUCUAUUA